UAUCGGAACGUGCCCUGGAUGGGGGAUAACUAGUCGAAAGACUAGCUAAUACCGCAUACGAUCUACGGAUGAAAUGGGGGAUCGCAAGACCUCAUGCUCGUGGAGCGGCCGAUAUCUGAUUAGCUAGUUGGUGGGGUAAAGGCCUACCAAGGCAUCGAUCAGUAGCUGGUCUGAGAGGACGACCAGCCACACUGGGACUGAGACACGGCCCAG
Molecule: ribosomal RNA, 213 nt
Filed under: uncultured bacterium
Lineage: Bacteria
Description: partial 16S ribosomal RNA
Rfam family: Bacterial small subunit ribosomal RNA
Source: RNAcentral